This is a long non-coding RNA of Bos taurus (domestic cattle), 3971 nucleotides long. NCBI's taxonomy places the organism in Eukaryota, Metazoa, Chordata, Mammalia, Artiodactyla, Bovidae. The record is from Ensembl.
ACGUGUUCCUAAUACACAGCACGCUGCCGCCGCCAUCUUCUUUCCAGCAGGCGGCCUCCAGCACUGACUUCCCUGGCUUCCACUCCACCCAACCCCUCCUGAGAAAGGCUCAGGGAAGUUCGCUUUUUCUCCAUCCCACCUGCUUAUCCAAGCACCAUCCUCUCGCGUCCGGAUGAGAGGGAUAAGACCACUUAACCAGUUAAGUGAUAGCCCCCAGCCUCUUAGCCACUGGGACGGCGGAGCCACUGAGAGCGAGCCCGGGAUCCCCAGCCCGGGGUUCAGGGUAAACAAGAUUACCUGGGGUGGCAGGAACUGGUGGAGACAGAAGGUGUUUCCAAACUUAAUCUGAAAUUAAUUAGAAAACGAAACAAGCCAAAGGACAAACAUCUGUGAGCAGAUGAUGUGCAGAGGCAAACAAAUUGGACACAUCACAUUCCGCUUGAGCUGGGAGUAGGAUCCUGCCAGGCUACAUAGGGAGUAGCCGGAGAGGCUUUCAGGGGGAGCAGUCUCAGUGUUUACUUCUCAGGAUCAAAUGACGGAGCAGCGCCAAGCUCCAAAGAUGCGGUCAGGGAGAGGGCUCUGCAGGGGAGCUGUGCGUCGGGGAGAUGAUCAUAAAAACUCAUCAGAACACACGCUGUUCAGGACCUGGGAGUGAGGAGCAGAGUGGUGCGUAUGAGAAGGGAGAAGCCUCCUGAAGCAGCCAGGACCGGGGGCUCGCCCGUACCCCACGACAACCUUCCAGGCGGGAUUGGUGGUGAUGGCUGUUUCAGGGCGCCUCCCUCACAACCCCCUUGCCAUUGCUGAGUCAAGGUCUCCCUACCUAAUGCAGGACAUGGCAGCUCCCCUGACCAUGGGAGCAGGCUUCCUCGUGCACCCGGCAGGCUGGAAGGGGUGCCGGCACUGAGGUCCCGGAAGCACCCCUCCACUCCGUGUGCCCCCAGGUGGACUGCUCAGACACGGCCCAUGGAGGAGCCCACGGUCCCGGCUGAGCGCGUGCACACGCGGGACCUGCCACUUUGGGCAUCCUCACUGGCCUCCUCACCACCCCCUCCCUUUCCCCUUCUCCACCUGCUUCCUGGGACCAGUCCCCAAACAAGCUGCUAGCACCCCAAAUCUGACCCGAGCUGGGGGCUGCUGCUAGGAAUGCAGACAGACAAGGAUGUUGGUGGCAAGCAGACGGGAUGGGGGUUGGUAACCUGGAUGAGUGAGAGACACUGUGCACAGACCUGUCCCAAAGCCGGAGAGAUCCCUACGGGGACUCUGGUGGUUCCGACUCCCGUUUGGAUCAACUGCCUGGUGACCUCAUCACCGCCGUUCCCCAGAUCCACGUCAGCCCUGAAGUCGGGGACCCCCGGCACACAGGAAGCCACACUCGGAGCAUUACCUUAGCUCUGACCCCAGCAGACACCAAGCAACCCUGCCCUCUUCUUUCUAAAGAGGGAGCAGACACCCAAGGAUUCUUACCCGAGUUAACAGCUCCCCUCGCCUUGUGCAUUGCGGUCACUUGUAUCUCAGCAAGAAUGAGCUGGAAGUCUGCCGAUGGAGGUGGGAGAGAAAAUGGGUCCUGGGUCCUUCUGGUCCUAGGGCAGGGGGGGCCCGGCUCCAAUGCCCUCCGGCCCAGCAUUUCAGGUGUCCGUGUCACCUGCCUGAGCCCCUGCUACUCCACUCGCCUGUUGGUGAGGGACAGAAAAGCUCCCUCACUAGGCUACUGUGAGGACUAUGGGAGAUGGUCAGCACCAACUUGUGGAAUUACAACCCAGAGACAGAGAUGACAGAGCACAUCAACUACACUGAGUAGAAGUUGCUCUCUCUUCCAUAAUGUUUCCUCCAUUGUUUUUUGCAUCAUAUCAAGCACAGGAAGAUACACCUGGAUCUAACACAUGUUGUAAAUCAACUAUACUCCCCUCCCCCCUAAAAAAAAAAAAAAAAAACCAUGAGGGUAGGAGGGGCUUUGUGGGAGCCCUCCUUUCCUCUCCUCCCACCCCUCCACCUCAUCACAGAUGCUAUUGGCGAGCAUCUGUUAUAAGCCACAUGCCCGCUCAGCGUUUUCUCACUAAAUGCUCCCCACACCACCCUCAAAAGACGAGAGCUGCCUCCCGUCCCUGCCCCGCCCCAAGAACGCUCGGCGAAGAUGGACAUGCGCCACACCUGAGCUGCCCAAGACAGCAACACCAGCGACCAGCUGCUCAGUGUUUGGCCUGUGCCUCGUGCAACCAACGGGCUUUUACUUAAUUUUAAUUCCUUAUGCACAACUAGCCACAGGUGAAACUGGUCACCAUGUUGGACAGCAGAGAUACACACGGGGGUGAGAAAGAAAAGCAAACUGAAGUCUAAAGGAGUUCGGCAACUGCCCAAGGCCACGGACCUGGAGGAAGGUGGAGGUCAGAGCUGCUCCCACUCUCCGCAGCUUCCCGUGUGCGUCUCCUAAAGCGAACGGCCAAGCUGGCCGUGGACUUACUCAGACACAGGAGACGAGAUCUGAAAGUCAAGACGGGCCGGGUGAAAAAGACACUCAGCAACCAGAGAACGGGCUCAGAGAGACAAGGAAAUGAAUAUUCAAAGAAGAUAAUGGUGGUGGAAACGCUCUGUAAACUGUGAAGUGCUGUCUCAGGGUGGGGGUUAUUAAUAAUCCCCUUUGGCACUGACUCCACGGCAAAGAUUUCUUGUCCCUCUCCAUAUCCUGCUGCUCUGUUAAUCGUUAAUUAAAGCUUAAGGGAUUUGGGAAUACAGGCCUCUGAAAUUUGGACUAAACCCUCCAUGUUAUUGAAAAGAAAAAAAAAAUAAAUGAAGAAUUUUGGAUAAUUAGCUUUUCUUUCCCUAAAUGCUUUCUGGGUGUCAUUACAAACCAAGUGCCAGGCUAAUAUACCUUGUGUUGUGAAUGCCUCACAAUUCCUGCUAAUUGAAUUAAACCCAAUUCUCUGCAAAUAAACUCUUGGUUGUUCUUUAAUGGCAAAUAAGGAAUAGAGCUGUUUCUUUCUGGAACGGGUCAUUACAAGGCCCUAAUUACCAGCAUCUCAACGUGUUAACGCCAGCCUAACGCAAGGCGCCUUUAUGUCGGCUCCUGACAAUGACGGCUCUGUCAAGAUCAAAGUUGUGGCUUGCCCUUGGAAACUUCUCCCUGUUUUUCCUCCACUUCAAAAUAUUUAAUAACGACUAAUCAAAUUUCUAAGACGGCAGAGAAAGGACAAGAGGACAGAAGUCCCCCUUUUUAAAAAAUAUAUAUAUAUAUUCAGGACAAAUAUUUCAAAACUGACACACUGCUCAUGCCUCCUCCCUCCCCUUUCUUUCUCCCUUGGACACAGCACACGUCGUGAAGUUGCCAAUGAGUGAAGGAAUCUGUGCCUCUGGAGCUGCAUGCCAGCCCAAGGUGAACGGAGGAGCUGCACAGAGUAAUCGGAUGUCAGAGAAGAAGAUGGAUUCCUCGAACAGGGAUGUUAAUGGCUACCCUGCUUCAAGGAAUGGCUUGGGUAUGACGUGUUAUAAAUAGCAAUGUGGAUAAAGUGACUGGUGUAUAGCAGAUGCUCAGUAAAUGGAAUCCCACCAUGGCUCACUGGUAAAGAAUCCACCUGCCAAUGCAGGAGACGCAGGAGACAAGAGUUUGAUCCGGGUUGGGAAGAUCCCCUGGGGAAGGGAAUGGCUACUCACUCCAGCAUUCCUGCCUGGAACAGAGGAGCCUGGCAGGCUGCAGUCCAUGGGGUCACAAAGAGUCAAACAUGACUGAGCACGCAUGCACAUACCGUGUUUUUAAUUAUCAGGCUGACCCUCUGUAUUUCCUUGACCCAUGUAGAUGUCCACUUCCCCCACCAGACAAUCAGUUCUUUGAAGGGAAAGCAUGGGCCCCAUUAACUCCUGUAUCUCUAGCACAGCUCCAGGCAUGCGCCUGGUUUGGAAAAUGUUUGUGUAAUAAACUAACAAAUAAAUACCUGCAUGUUUAUUCAUAAUGGAUAAAAAAGGAAUGGAUACCUGGAACA